AAUCACAUCCAAAUUUGGUUUGUUUAUUGUCAAAUCUAUUUUUGGGAUUUGGGCUCUGCAGAAUUAAUUUUAAUUCAGCUGGCCUUAAACGAUUUAGCCAUAUCGUAAAUGUUCUGGGUGACAAGGCGUAAUAGUUGGAACUUUCUGGUCCAUCCCUUUCGCUGAAGCCUAUCUUUUAUGAAAUUUUGGCUCAAUAAUAUGGAAAGGUGAUAUUAUAUAUCAUUA
This 225-nucleotide unclassified non-coding RNA is filed under the name uncultured Endogonales. Its description in RNAcentral is "sequence contains ITS2". Lineage: Eukaryota; Fungi; Mucoromycota; Endogonomycetes; Endogonales. The record is from RNAcentral.